This 1419-nucleotide long non-coding RNA is filed under the name Helianthus annuus (common sunflower). The record is from RNAcentral. Lineage: Eukaryota; Viridiplantae; Streptophyta; Magnoliopsida; Asterales; Asteraceae.
AUGGCUAUGGGUAUUUGCCGCCAGGGAUCCUUGUCGGGUGGUGAACUGGGAAGGGAGAUCCCUUCCGCGGUCAGGGGUACCGUGCAACUACCCUUUUUUUUUUUAGUUUUGGUGGAAAAUGGACCUAGAAUCUUUGGUAAGAAAUUCUGAUUUGUUAGGUUUCAUGGCUAUCAAUUUUGUAUACCCUUUAGCAAAUUUGGAAAUUCGAUAGUAUUAAUAACUGCUCAAAGUCAGAACACAUCUUCUGAAAUCCGUAUGGCUAAGUGUAGUGGUGAAAAUAGGCGGGUUGGUUAACGGGGCAUGGGUCCAGUUGACUUACAAACCAUCUUUUUGUCUACUUAAUUUGUUUUUCUAUACUAUAUAUAAUAUGCAUAUUGUUAUUUCUAGCAACUGAUGUUGAAAUUUUGGGGAGUGUAAUGAUGAUUCUGACAGCUUGAGUAGCAAUUUGCGAUGGCAACAAUGACUACCCGCGGCGGAGGUGAACUCCAGCCGCCAAACUGCGGUGGUCUAUGGUGGUGGUUGUAUACUCCGGCCGCCAAAAUCAUUUUGUGUUGAAGUAUAGCGGGAGAUCUCUGAACUCCAAGGUUACAGUGGAUGGACAAGGAAGAAUAGACUCCAGUUGCUGAUGAAAGUCAAGAUAGAGUUGAAUUUCUACUAAAGGAAGGCACGGGUAAAGAUACCACCGAACUAAUUGCUUCCGGAAGGGAGUAGUGGGCGUCAGUUUCGUUCCAUCUGGUGGUGGUGGUUGUGUUGUAGUUGCUGGUGGUGCUGCACUUGCUGCUGUUGCCGUAGUUGAGGCAAAGAAAGAGGAGAAGGUUGAAGAGAAGAGGAAUAUGAUGUUGCAAAGUUAAUAAUUACCAGCGGAAAAGGUCAAGUCUUGGCAGCGGGAACAGCAGAGAUCUCGAACAGGUGUAUUGGUAAUCGACAAGUUUUCAGAGUGUGGGCUUCGUUCUCUUGGAGUUUCUUGCCAGGAAGUGCCGGCUGGAAAGAAAGAGAGCAUGGGUGAAUUGUGGGAGUUCAUCCGCCUUCUUCCUUUAUUCAACCCUCCACAACAUGACAGUUCUGAAACUAUCAUACGAGGCCUUUGGCUGAUGUGGACUACCUUCAUAAAAUUACUCGUAGAUGUGUUUGUAUAGAAUUUAUUUUAUGUCAUAAAAUCGUAGAUGCGUUUGUACAAGAUUUUGUUUGUUUUCUAUAUAGAAGAGCUAUACAAUAUAAUGGGCGAAACUUCAUUGGGGAAAGGGGCGUCCCCUUUUCGCUUUGUAGUGUUAAUUUUACCAAAAUUUUCAAAAUUUUAUUUUGUAAUGUAACAUAUUGGAUUUUGACAGUACCUUAACCGAAAAUUUAGAUUUUAGUUAUGACCGAACUGUAAUGAACCUUCUCAUGCACACCCUUAGAAUUACUAACAAGUGUUGUGUU